CCCUAUCAACUUUCGAUGGUAGG
RNAcentral lists this non-coding RNA (23 nucleotides) under Arabidopsis thaliana (thale cress). Lineage: Eukaryota; Viridiplantae; Streptophyta; Magnoliopsida; Brassicales; Brassicaceae. The record is from RNAcentral.